RNAcentral lists this ribosomal RNA (1535 nucleotides) under Escherichia coli. Its description in RNAcentral is "16S ribosomal RNA". It matches the Rfam family "Bacterial small subunit ribosomal RNA". The record is from RNAcentral. Lineage: Bacteria; Pseudomonadati; Pseudomonadota; Gammaproteobacteria; Enterobacterales; Enterobacteriaceae.
CAAUUUAAACAACGAAGAGUUUGAUCCUGGCUCAGGAUGAACGCUAGCGACAGGCUUAACACAUGCAAGUCGAGGGGCAGCGGGGGUAGCAAUACCCGCCGGCGACCGGCGCACGGGUGAGUAACGCGUAUGCAACUUGCCUAUCAGAGGGGGAUAACCCGGCGAAAGUCGGACUAAUACCGCAUGAAGCAGGGGUCCCGCAUGGGGAUAUUUGCUAAAGAUUCAUCGCUGAUAGAUAGGCAUGCGUUCCAUUAGGCAGUUGGCGGGGUAACGGCCCACCAAACCGACGAUGGAUAGGGGUUCUGAGAGGAAGGUCCCCCACAUUGGUACUGAGACACGGACCAAACUCCUACGGGAGGCAGCAGUGAGGAAUAUUGGUCAAUGGGCGUAAGCCUGAACCAGCCAAGUCGCGUGAGGGAUGAAGGUUCUAUGGAUCGUAAACCUCUUUUAUAAGGGAAUAAAGUGCGGGACGUGUCCCGUUUUGUAUGUACCUUAUGAAUAAGGAUCGGCUAACUCCGUGCCAGCAGCCGCGGUAAUACGGAGGAUUCGAGCGUUAUCCGGAUUUAUUGGGUUUAAAGGGUGCGUAGGCGGCCUUUUAAGUCAGCGGUGAAAGUCUGUGGCUCAACCAUAGAAUUGCCGUUGAAACUGGGAGGCUUGAGUAUGUUUGAGGCAGGCGGAAUGCGUGGUGUAGCGGUGAAAUGCUUAGAUAUCACGCAGAACCCCGAUUGCGAAGGCAGCCUGCCAAGCCAUGACUGACGCUGAUGCACGAAAGCGUGGGGAUCAAACAGGAUUAGAUACCCUGGUAGUCCACGCAGUAAACGAUGAUCACUAGCUGUUUGCGAUACAGUGUAAGCGGCACAGCGAAAGCGUUAAGUGAUCCACCUGGGGAGUACGCCGGCAACGGUGAAACUCAAAGGAAUUGACGGGGGCCCGCACAAGCGGAGGAACAUGUGGUUUAAUUCGAUGAUACGCGAGGAACCUUACCCGGGUUUGAACGCAUUCGGACCGAGGUGGAAACACCUUUUCUAGCAAUAGCCGUUUGCGAGGUGCUGCAUGGUUGUCGUCAGCUCGUGCCGUGAGGUGUCGGCUUAAGUGCCAUAACGAGCGCAACCCUUGCCACUAGUUACUAACAGGUUAGGCUGAGGACUCUGGUGGGACUGCCAGCGUAAGCUGCGAGGAAGGCGGGGAUGACGUCAAAUCAGCACGGCCCUUACAUCCGGGGCGACACACGUGUUACAAUGGCGUGGACAAAGGGAAGCCACCUGGCGACAGGGAGCGAAUCCCCAAACCACGUCUCAGUUCGGAUCGGAGUCUGCAACCCGACUCCGUGAAGCUGGAUUCGCUAGUAAUCGCGCAUCAGCCAUGGCGCGGUGAAUACGUUCCCGGGCCUUGUACACACCGCCCGUCAAGCCAUGGGAGCCGGGGGUACCUGAAGUCCGUAACCGCGAGGAUCGGCCUAGGGUAAAACUGGUGACUGGGGCUAAGUCGUAACAAGGUAGCCGUACCGGAAGGUGCGGCUGGAACACCUCCUUUCU